Molecule: long non-coding RNA, 1302 nt
Filed under: Equus caballus (horse)
Lineage: Eukaryota; Metazoa; Chordata; Mammalia; Perissodactyla; Equidae
Description: lncRNA (ENSECAG00000044432.1)
Source: RNAcentral
GCUCAAGGUGAAUGCUCUCAUUAUUGCUUGGUUAGGCCCCUGCGAUGCAGGCUGAGGAGGACUAGCCUCUUGGAACUUGUGCUUUUUCAUUUUCUAUAACAAAUCCUUGGAUGCUAAAACCUGAAGAGGAAGCAAAGUGACCUAGCAAGGUCACUUCUGCAGCCCACUCCCUCUUGUCAUGGGUAUCCCUCCUCCUGGGCGUGGCCCUCUGGCUGGCUUUCUCUGCAUAUGUACAACUGUGUUUUGUAUGACCCAAGAGACACCAUCUCUCCUCUCCCAGCUCUCAAUUCUCCCAACUUUUGCUAUCAGGUCGUUUCAGAGAAGUUGUGUCUCUCCGAGGCGUUCCCUCUAGGUAGGGCCAGAGUUUCCAUUCGUUGGCUCACUUCGCACAUGCAAACACAUCUCCUGAAUUCUGGCCUUCUGAACCACGGGUAGUCGGGCCCAAAGGCCUUUCUGGGCAGGGCACUGUGAGUCAAGAGUGGAAAAUCGGAGUAGCUGGGGCCCUGGAUCUAAGUGUCCCCAUCCGUCCACCCUUAGAGGUGGAGGCCUCACUAAGGCUCUGCAAAGAUUUUCCUUAGGGCAGCAGAGGGCAGGGCUGAUGCUGCCGAGCCGGAGCGUGCCCUGGAGUCUGGCUGGUGGCAGAACCAGGCCGUGGGAUCCUCCUGGGGCUCUGUUUGCUGGAGCUAAUAUGUGGGACUUUUUGAGGGGGAGUGGAAGGAGGAAGGAGUCUGUGUGUCUGAGGGCCUAAUGGGGAAGCCGAGGGUUGAGGAGGAUGGAAGGGAUAGUGUGGAGCCCGUAUUUGCUUCCUGAUGCAGCAGGCAGGGCGUUUCUUGUCGUUCCCUCGCAGUCAGCGUGAGCCUUUGCACUGAUUCUGCAGGGCCUCCCUGGCAGCUUUUCAGGUCUGACGCCUCCUUGCAGACUGUUCCGAACUCUUCUCUCUGAAAGCCUCAGCUUCCUCGUUUGUAAAGUAGGGAUGGUGAUAGUUCCUGCCUCACAUCCUGGGGGCAGAAGUCAAGCUGGAUGUUAAAGUGUGAAAUUCUUCAGAAACUUGAGUCCCCUGGGCAAUCGUUAAAAUCUAGAAGGAACAAAUCAGCUUGUGAAAAGCCUCAGAGGAAAGGGGAAAUGGGGCAGUUACGUCUGUGUGGGCUCAGGAUCAUGAACAGAAAACUUGGCUUCCAGGGCACCUCUUUGUUCAAAACAGAACAUUAUUCUAUGAGGUGACUCUUGAACGGGGCCUUUCCCCGGGUGGCCACUGAGGUUCUGGCCAGGGACGGUACUAGAGUGUGGACAUUCACUGGGAUG